GCGACCCCAGGUCAGGCGGGAUCACCCGCUGAGUUUAAGCAUAUCAAUAAGCGGAGGAGAAGAAACUUACAAGGAUUCCCUUAGUAACGGCGAGCGAAC
This 99-nucleotide ribosomal RNA is filed under the name Streptocarpus formosus. RNAcentral's name for it is "partial 28S ribosomal RNA". It matches the Rfam family "Eukaryotic large subunit ribosomal RNA", at positions 1 to 98 of the family's 3401-position model. The record is from RNAcentral. Lineage: Eukaryota; Viridiplantae; Streptophyta; Magnoliopsida; Lamiales; Gesneriaceae.